This 497-nucleotide ribosomal RNA is filed under the name uncultured bacterium. RNAcentral describes it as "partial 16S ribosomal RNA". It matches the Rfam family "Bacterial small subunit ribosomal RNA", at positions 28 to 507 of the family's 1533-position model. The record is from RNAcentral.
GAUGAACGCUGGCGGCGUGCCUAAUACAUGCAAGUCGAGCGAACAGAUGAGGAGCUUGCUCCUCUGACGUUAGCGGCGGACGGGUGAGUAACACGUGGAUCACCUACCUAUAAGACUGGGAUAACUUCGGGAAACCGGAGCUAAUACCGGAUAAUAUAUUGAACCGCAUGGUUCAAUAGUGAAAGACGGUUUUGCUGUCACUUAUAGAUGGAUCCGCGCCGCAUUAGCUAGUUGGUAAGGUAACGGCUUACCAAGGCAACGAUGCGUAGCCGACCUGAGAGGGUGAUCGGCCACACUGGAACUGAGACACGGUCCAGACUACUACGGGAGGCAGCAGUAGGGAAUCGUACGCAAUGGGCGAAAGCCUGACGGAGCAACGCCGCGUGAGUGAUGAAGGUCUUCGGAUCGUAAAACUCUGUUAUUAGGGAAGAACAAAUGUGUAAGUAACUAUGCACGUCUUGACGGUAACUAAUCAGAAAGCCACGGCUAACUACGUG